This 580-nucleotide ribosomal RNA is filed under the name bacterium H2B13aut. RNAcentral's name for it is "bacterial SSU rRNA". It matches the Rfam family "Bacterial small subunit ribosomal RNA", at positions 87 to 654 of the family's 1533-position model. The record is from RNAcentral.
CUAGGUUAGCGGCGGACGGGUGAGUAACACGUAGGCAACCUGCCUGUAAGACUGGGAUAACUACCGGAAACGGUAGCUAAUACCGGAUAAUUAAUUUUCCCGCAGGGGAGAAUCAUGAAAGAUGGAGCAAUCUAUCACUUACAGAUGGGCCUGCGGCGCAUUAGCUAGUUGGUGGGGUAAUGGCUCACCAAGGCGACGAUGCGUAGCCGACCUGAGAGGGUGAACGGCCACACUGGGACUGAGACACGGCCCAGACUCCUACGGGAGGCAGCAGUAGGGAAUCUUCCGCAAUGGACGAAAGUCUGACGGAGCAACGCCGCGUGAGUGAUGAAGGUUUUCGGAUCGUAAAGCUCUGUUGCCAGGGAAGAACGUCCGGUAGAGUAACUGCUACCGGAGUGACGGUACCUGAGAAGAAAGCCCCGGCUAACUACGUGCCAGCAGCCGCGGUAAUACGUAGGGGGCAAGCGUUGUCCGGAAUUAUGGGGCGUAAAGCGCGCGCAGGCGGCUGUUUAAGUCUGGUGUUUAAUCUGGGGGCUCACCCCCGAGUCGCACUGGAAACUGGACAGCUGGAGUACAGAAG